Molecule: ribosomal RNA, 788 nt
Filed under: Salinispora sp. AE70
Lineage: Bacteria; Bacillati; Actinomycetota; Actinomycetes; Micromonosporales; Micromonosporaceae
Description: bacterial SSU rRNA
Rfam family: Bacterial small subunit ribosomal RNA
Source: RNAcentral
UGCAGUCGAGCGGAAGGCCCUUCGGGGUACUCGAGCGGCGAACGGGUGAGUAACACGUGAGUAACCUGCCCCAGGCUUUGGGAUAACCCCGGGAAACCGGGGCUAAUACCGGAUAUGACCAUCUGUCGCAUGGUGGGUGGUGGAAAGAUUUUUUGGCUUGGGAUGGGCUCGCGGCCUAUCAGCUUGUUGGUGGGGUGAUGGCCUACCAAGGCGGCGACGGGUAGCCGGCCUGAGAGGGCGACCGGCCACACUGGGACUGAGACACGGCCCAGACUCCUACGGGAGGCAGCAGUGGGGAAUCUUGCACAAUGGGCGGAAGCCUGAUGCAGCGACGCCGCGUGAGGGAUGACGGCCUUCGGGUUGUAAACCUCUUUCAGCAGGGACGAAGCGUUUGUGACGGUACCUGCAGAAGAAGCGCCGGCCAACUACGUGCCAGCAGCCGCGGUAAGACGUAGGGCGCAAGCGUUGUCCGGAUUUAUUGGGCGUAAAGAGCUCGUAGGCGGCUUGUCGCGUCGACUGUGAAAACCCGUGGCUCAACUGCGGGCUUGCAGUCGAUACGGGCAGGCUAGAGUUCGGUAGGGGAGACUGGAAUUCCUGGUGUAGCGGUGAAAUGCGCAGAUAUCAGGAGGAACACCGGUGGCGAAGGCGGGUCUCUGGGCCGAUACUGACGCUGAGGAGCGAAAGCGUGGGGAGCGAACAGGAUUAGAUACCCUGGUAGUCCACGCUGUAAACGUUGGGCGCUAGGUGUGGGGGGCCUCUCCGGUUCUCUGUGCCGCAGCUAACGCAUU